This 1142-nucleotide long non-coding RNA is filed under the name Equus asinus (donkey). RNAcentral's name for it is "lncRNA (ENSEASG00005029323.1)". Lineage: Eukaryota; Metazoa; Chordata; Mammalia; Perissodactyla; Equidae. The record is from RNAcentral.
CUAAUUCUCAAUGCUGCGUUUUCUGGAAAGCAAUCUGCCAACAUUUUAAAGGAAAUGAUCUUUGGUGCUCUGAAGGAGGCAGUUAACUGGAAAUUCCAACUGCCUGGCCUUCAAAUGGUCUGAGCUUCUGUGCUUGGUGGCAGCUGAUUGGCUGUUAGCAAAGCGGACUGGACCCCUCAAACCAGUAAACUGAAAACUCCGCUCCUGAUGUUGGGUUUUCUUUCUCAGCCUAUUUGGAACAAAACUCGGGAAAAUAUAAAAAAGAAAAGUGCAACUAGUUGGGCAUCCCAUUAAGAGAGAAUUACAGUAAGAAAGAAGGGCCCUACCACAGGACAAAUUGACAGCGCAGUCACUAUUCCGUGCUAAUGGACUGACUUCACAUGAACAGACGGUGGAGGAGUGUCAGAAACUUCGCGGGAUCUGGAUUUUACUCUACCUACAGCUGGCAAGUCAGUCUGGUACUGUUUCUUGGAUGCUGGCAGAGGACACAACACUCCUAAGUCAGAGACAAAGGACUUUAUCACCCACAGCAAAAGCAGUAGCCAGAGUGUCUGCGUGACUCUCCCUCCAGUGCUCCAUGCCCCGGAGUUCCGUGCAGGAGACAUCCAUCAGGGAUGCUGCAUUAAUUUAGUAGGGCCACUAUAACAAACACCACGGCCUGGGUGGCUCAAACAACAAAUUUACGGUCUCAAUUCUGGAGGCUUGAAGUCUGGGAUCAAAGUAUUAGCAGGGUUGGUUCCUUCUGAGGGCCAUGAGGGAGGGAUCUGUUUGAGGUCUCCCUCCUUAACUUGUAGUUGGCCAUCUUUUCCCUGUGUCUUCAGCAUCCUCUUCCCUCUGUAUGAAUGUGUGUCCAAGUUUCCUCUUCUUAUAAGGACAUCAGUCGUGUUGGACCAGGGCCCACCCUAAUGAUCUUGUUUUAACUUAGUCACCUCUGUAAAGAUCAUAUCUCCAAAUGCGACCGCGCUCUGAGAUACCAGGGGUUAGGACUUCAGCAUAUGAAUUUUGAGGGGGAACACAACUCAGCCCGUAACAGAUGCUUGCUUACACACAUAGUGGGGUGCAUUACAGGAGAGGAACCCUGAGCUUGGUGGAUUCACCAUGGAUGCAAGCCUGCUGUUGUCCAGGGGGGACAUUGCCCCAUC